Molecule: long non-coding RNA, 1727 nt
Filed under: Salmo salar (Atlantic salmon)
Lineage: Eukaryota; Metazoa; Chordata; Actinopteri; Salmoniformes; Salmonidae
Description: lncRNA (ENSSSAG00000092358.1)
Source: RNAcentral
AUUGUGACAUAAGGAAUAGAUAGAUAGAACAUCCCUUUGAAGUAAAGUAUGUGUAUAAAUUCCAUGUAUAAAUAUUGUUUUGAGGGAGCAAGGAGAAAACACACUGUUUCCUGCUGGAGAGUCAACCGGACUAAGCGAGAGUAUCUGAAGAAGUUGAGGUCUGGUUACGCCUCUAAACCGCAUGUUUAGCGCAAUUGAUCUUAAUUAAAUAUUUGUCAAAUGAGUCAAAUCAACGACAGAAACAUGGAGACAACCGUCGGAUUUUUGUGGCUGUGAUAACUAGUAACGAGCGUCCACAUGCCAGGUCCUCUUCCUCCUCUGAUGACGUAGUGACGUGUUGGAGCUGGUCAGACAAACUACCUAUUAUUCCCAAGUCUCGACUCUUAUUAUCCGCAACAAAUAGCUAUUGUUUUUUUUUUCAUCUCUUUGUGAUCAUUUUUACACAAUCCCAACGUUGGCGAAGGAUAUUCACGGUAGUCUACUUGUUUUUGGGAAAGGUUAUACGAGUUGUUGUGUAGUUUAGGUAAAAGUCGCACGGCACUGGCCGCUCGUCGGUUUCUAUGCGGUAGGGACAUGUUGUUAUCCAUUGUUAUGGACUUGUAGCGCUAGUUGUCUUCAGUCCCAUACUAGAGUAGUCUCUGUCUCUCUCUCUGUGUCUCUCUGCGAUGGCCGAGGCGAGGAGAAUGGAGGACGAACAGCAGCAGAGUUUGAGAGGGGAACCGAGAGGGGAACCUGUCGUAAGGAGACAACCAUCUGGAGAGCGCUCAGAGAGGCAGAAAGACCACAGACUCAGGUAAGAGAUCUGCUAGUUUUGACAGACAUAUUGUGUAUCUCAAAUAGUACCCUAUUCUCUCUUUUAAUGCACUACUUCUGACCAGAGUACACUGGCUCCUGGUCUAAAGUAGUGCACUACUUCUGACGAAAGUGUCCCAAAUGACCCCUGUUCCCAAUGGGCCCUGGUCUAAAGUAGUGCACUAUAAAGGGAAAAGGGUGCUGUUUGGGAUAUAGACCAUUUUUUUCCUCUGCUAUUACUCAUCUGCCAUAUAAAUUAUGACCUUGCUUUGCACGCCAACACUUGCUGCCGGGCUAGGAGCUGUUAGCAUGGCUAGUGGUUUUAUAUGGUUGGCUGAGCAGGACUGUAGAGCUGUUAGCAUGGCUAGUGGUUUUAUAUGGUUGGCUGAGCGGGACUGCAGAACUGUCGGGCUAGGAGCUGUUAGCAUGGCUAGUGGUUUUAUAUGGUUGGCUGAGCGGGACUGUAGAACUGUCGGGCUAGGAGCUGUUAGCAUGGCUAGUGGUUUUAUAUGGUUGGCUGAGCAGGACUGUAGAGCUGUUAGCAUGGCUAGUGGUUUUAUAUGGUUGGCUGAGCGGGACUGUAGAGCUGUUAGCAUGGCUAGUGGUUUUAUAUGGUUGGCUGAGCGGGACUGCAGAACUGUCGGGCUAGGAGCUGUUAGCAUGGCUAGUGGUUUUAUAUGGUUGGCAGAGCGGGACUGCAGAACUGUCGGGCUAGGAGCUGUUAGCAUGGCUAGUGGUUUUAUAUGGUUGGCUGAGCAGGACUGUAGAGCUGUUAGCAUGGCUAGUGGUUUUAUAUGGUUGGCUGAGCAGGACUGUAGAGCUGUUAGCAUGGCUAGUGGUUUUAUAUGGUUGGCUGAGCGGGACUGCAGAACUGUCGGGCUAGGAGCUGUUAGCAUGGCUAGUGGUUUUAUAUGGUUGGCUGAGCGGGACUGCAG